RNAcentral lists this long non-coding RNA (347 nucleotides) under Zostera marina. Its description in RNAcentral is "long non-coding RNA (ZMAR_LNC004308)". Lineage: Eukaryota; Viridiplantae; Streptophyta; Magnoliopsida; Alismatales; Zosteraceae. The record is from RNAcentral.
CCCAAGCCUUGAUUGGGUCUUCAACAGGGACGUAUUUCGUUAAUUGAAUUCUGCUUGAAUUUAAUUGUGACAGUAACAAUUUUUUUAAUAAAUUUGUGAUAUGGAAGGACGUACGGAAGAAGCUUUGGAGGAGAUCCGGAAUUCGUUAGCUACUAUCUCGGCGGACCAAAAUAAAAGGUUAACAGAUGUAACCAUACGUCACGAUCUUGCUAUUUCGAACAUCUGUGACGAAUUGGGGGAGAUAAAGCAGCUACUGAAAGGUUUCAACGGUAACUUCGGAGGUAAAGGAUUUGAGUCAAACGGCAAAGGUCUAAGAUCAAUCAAACUGGACUUGCCGAAAUUUUCGG